RNAcentral lists this ribosomal RNA (393 nucleotides) under Temora sp. RNAcentral describes it as "partial small subunit ribosomal RNA". It matches the Rfam family "Eukaryotic small subunit ribosomal RNA", at positions 582 to 975 of the family's 1831-position model. Lineage: Eukaryota; Metazoa; Arthropoda; Copepoda; Calanoida; Temoridae. The record is from RNAcentral.
AUUCCAGCUCCAAUAGCGUAUAUUAAAGUUGUUGUGGUUAAAAAGCUCGUAGUUGGAUUUCGGCGAGUAUAGGUUGGUUUGAAUUGCUUCAAUACUGACUUUUUUACCCGUGUGUUUUGCCAGAAUUUAACGGGUGAUCUUCGCCGAUUGUCUGUUAGAACUGACAGGUUUACUUUGAAAAAAUUAGAGUGCUCAAAGCAAGCUUGAUUGCUUGAAUAUUCGUGCAUGGAAUAAUAGAAUAGGAAGUCGUUUCUAUUUUGUUGGUUUUCGGAAAUCGACUUAAUGAUUAAUAGGGACAGUCGGGGGCAUUUGUAUUCAAACGACAGAGGUGAAAUUCUUGGACCGUUUGAAGACAAACUACUGCGAAAGCAUUUGCCAAGAAUGUUUUCAUUA